RNAcentral lists this unclassified non-coding RNA (240 nucleotides) under soil metagenome. RNAcentral describes it as "partial contains 5.8S ribosomal RNA, internal transcribed spacer 2, and large subunit ribosomal RNA". The record is from RNAcentral.
AACGAGGCCGACCUGCGGCUGAGUUACCUGCGGAAGGAUCAUUACACAAUACAAUAUGAAGGCUGUCCGCAGCUGGAGUAUUUUAUUACCCUUGUCUUUUGCGCACUUGUUGUUUCCUGGGCGGGUUCGCUCGCCACCAGGACCACCAAAUAAACCUUUUUUAUGCAGUUGCAAUCAGCGUCAGUACAAACAAUGUAAAUCAUUUACAACUUUCAACAAUGGAUCUCAGAUCGGAAGAGC